ACGGCGAGCGAACGGGGAAGAGCUCGUAGCCGAAUCUCGAGCCUYUCGGCUCGGGAAAUGUGGCGUAUGGGAGGCGGUCUUCUUAGGGCGACCGGCGGUACAAGUCCCCAUGAGCGGGGCUUGUGACCCAGAGGGGGUGCUAGGCCCGUACCGCCGCCGGUCCACCCGAGGAUCUGCCGUUCUCCCGAGAGUCGGGUUGCUUGGGAGUGCAGCCCAAAGUGGGUGGUAAACUCCACCUAAAGCUAAAUAAGACCGAGAAACCGAUAGCAAACAAGUACCGUGAGGGAAAGUUGAAAAGCACUUUGAAGAGAGAGUUCAAGAGUACGUGAAACCGUUCAGAGGUAAACGGGUGGGACCUCGAAUUCUGAAGGCGGUGGCGGAUUCAGUCGGGCUCGACCGGUUCUAUCCUUUAAUUGGUGGCUUCGUCAGAAGGCCUUUUAGGGGAGACACGAGCCUUUUCCCGGCGCACUUCUGCACCCCGCCCAUCGGGCGUCGCAACCGGCUGAGAGGUCGUUGUACGGGCGUGCGCGAAAGGUAACCGCGUUGCCUUCGGGCUCCGCGGUGUUAUAGGCGGCACGUCCCCGAGGGGCCUUUCGGCCGGGGUGGAACACAUCUCCGAGGCGCUCCUUCCACGAGCGGAGCGGGCUUGGGUUCCGAGUUUGGUUUUGGGGGUGUUUCACGUUGACCGUGAGCAUUCUCACCGCYGGAUUUCGGGAUUUUAGUUCUCGCGAGGAGCCGGAGGUUGCGGCGAGUAGGUCGGUUUCCCACCCGACCCGUCUUGAAACACGGACCAAGGAGUCUAACGCGUGUGCGAGUUCCCGGGACUUGACCAGGCCCGAGGGCGCAAUGAAAGUGAAAGGCGGCUUCCGCCGUCGGAGUUGGGAUCCUUACUCUAYAAGAGUUUGGCGCACCAACGGCCCGUCUUAAGCCGUUCUCGGCUGGGCGGAGCUGGAGCAGACGCUCUGGGACCCGAAAGAUGGUGAACUAUGCCUGGGCAGGACGAAGCCAGAGGAAACUCUGGUGGAGGUCCGCAGCGAUUCUGACGUGCAAAUCGAUCGUCAGAC
This 1064-nucleotide ribosomal RNA is filed under the name Pseudalbiorix veracruzensis. RNAcentral describes it as "LSU rRNA". It matches the Rfam family "Eukaryotic large subunit ribosomal RNA", at positions 86 to 910 of the family's 3401-position model. Lineage: Eukaryota; Metazoa; Arthropoda; Arachnida; Pseudoscorpiones; Ideoroncidae. The record is from RNAcentral.